RNAcentral lists this long non-coding RNA (1171 nucleotides) under Homo sapiens (human). RNAcentral's name for it is "HSALNT0027993". Lineage: Eukaryota; Metazoa; Chordata; Mammalia; Primates; Hominidae. The record is from RNAcentral.
AGGAUUAGUAUUUCAUUCUGUAGUCAAUGGAUACUCACUGGAAAGUGUUUGAGGAAGUGAGGGGUGUGAGCUUUGUUUUAAGAUAAGAUGUUUAUGUCUGUGUCAUAACAAGCAGAAGGGAUUGGAGGAAACAGGCUGAAGACAGAUGCUGCAGUGGGAGUGUGGAGAGAUGUGAAGGCAACAGCAGGAAUAAUGAUAAGAUUGGUUGUGAGGUACUGUAUAGAUGAGAUGGAUAGGACCAGAGAUGCACCUGAGAGCAGGAGGAAAAGGAGAGGAAAAUGGUCAUGUGGGUGCCAGAUAGUACUGCAUAACCUCUCCUUUUGAAUUUGAGGUACCUGCGUCUGCCAAGAGUAGCUUUUCCAUUUCACAACCAUCACACUUUCCUGUGAGUUCAGAGUUAAUGAAGACAUGUGGAUGCAAAAGGAAAACUUGCAGAGCAAAGUCAUUGCCAAACAGGUUGUGUAGCCUGACCUGUGAAACAUUGUGAAGAAGGAAGAUCGCAGUUUCAGGGAAGAUGACUCGAUAACACCACAGAACAGCAGCCACUACUCACCACUCCGGCUAGGCUGGUUUCCCUGCCAUGGAGCUCGCCAUUCUUCGUCCUGUCACAAGCCAUUCACUGAUGAGCCAGGGGAAGCCGCAGAAGUUUCCAGAUCAGAGAAGUGCUGUGAUCUAAUUUGAGCUGUAACCACAAUAAAGAUAAGUUUUUAUAAUAGGAUAUUGGUUUAGGAGCUUUAACAAUGAGCAAAAUAAAAGUGCCUGAAACAAAAUAGCCUUUUUUGUUUGUUUGUUUUUUGAGAUGGAGUCUCACUCACCCAGGCUAGAGUGAAGUGCCAUCAUCUUGGCUCACUGCAACCUUCGCCCCCCAGGUCCAAGUGAUUCUCCCGCCUCAGCCUCUGAGUAGCUGGGAUUACAGGCACCAGCCACCAUGCUCGGCUAAUUUUUGUAUUUUUAGUAGAGAUGGAUUUUCGCCAUGUUGGCCAGGCUGGUCUCGAAUGCCUGACCUCAGGUGAUCCACCCACCUCGGCCUCCCAAAGUGCUCGGAUUACAGGCAUGAGCCGCCUUGCCCAGUCAGCUUUAUUUAUUUAUUUAUUUAUUUAUUUAUUUGAGAUGGAGUGUCGCUCUGUUGCCCAGGAUGGAGAGCAGAGGCGUGAUCUCGACUCACUGCAAC